Molecule: long non-coding RNA, 1134 nt
Organism: Callithrix jacchus (white-tufted-ear marmoset)
Lineage: Eukaryota; Metazoa; Chordata; Mammalia; Primates; Cebidae
Source: Ensembl
AUGAUCCGCGCCCACCUGCCUUUGACCCAGCGCUGCACGGGACGGGCUGGGGGGCGCUCCCAAGCAGGCCCGGGGCCCGCACCCUCACCCUGCUCACUGCCGCGAUCUGACCGCGCCUGGAGUCACUGCGCCAAGGGCGUGUCCCGACGGCUGCACUGCGGGGGCGGUCGUGGGGAGGGGGACCGGGGGGCACGCGCGCUGGGAUGGGGUCAGCGGCGCCCUGCCGAAUCUCCAGGGCUGAGCAUCCCUCCCUCAGCCGCACUGCACCUGCCCGCAGGUGACCGACCCUCGGGCGGACCCCCAGACCCAAUCCUUUCCAGGAGCCGGGUGGGAUGGGCAGGGGCAGGAGCCGGCGGCCCUAUAGGCCCCGGGCGAAGGCAUCCAGAGCUCCAGCAUCCCUCCAGUGGUCGCACCGGACCCGCCCCCAGGCUGACGGACCCUCAGGCAGACCUUCACGCUCAAUCCAGUCCGGGGCGGAUUAAGGCGUGGGAGACAAGGGAGCCGGUGGCCCCGCUGGCCCCGCUGGCCCCGGGCCGGAGGCGUCCAGCCAAGUCCACAGGGCCGAGCAUCCCUCCCCGGGCCUCACGGGACCCGCCUGCUGAUGGACCGACCCCUGGCGAACCCCCAGACCCAAUCCUUUGCCUGACAUGGAGAGCCCCCGCCCCUCUCCAGGUUCAGGAUCUCCACAACCCCGCCGUCCGGGGGCAAUGCCGGGGUUCCUCUCCGCGCCCCGGCUCCGGCGGCGGCCCCCACUCGGUCCGGUUGCCGGCAGCCCCGCGAGCCGCCCGUUCCCGACACCCGCAGCCGGCAGGGCCGCCCCGCCACCCCCCCCCCACCGCGCGGCCGGGCCUCACCGAGUCAGCAACGGAGGGGCGGCGGCGGCGGCGGCGGCGGCGGCGGCGGAGUGAGCGAGCGGCGAGCGGACGCCGGGAAGGAGGGCCGCGGGUGAGGCCAAGCGCACCCGACGCCGGCGGCUGCGGAUUGGCUGAGGCGGACCCGGCCGUGGCGCUGGGGGGCGGGGGACUCCGGGCGCUCGGAGGGAGGGCCGGUCCCGGGCGUGGGCGGGGCGGGGCGCGGCGCGGGCGGGGCGCGGAGGGGAGGGAAACUGAGGAUCGCGCAGGUGCUCGCGCUUGA